This 1356-nucleotide unclassified non-coding RNA is filed under the name uncultured Neocallimastigales. RNAcentral's name for it is "partial contains small subunit ribosomal RNA, internal transcribed spacer 1, 5.8S ribosomal RNA, internal transcribed spacer 2, and large subunit ribosomal RNA". The stretch from base 620 to 1356 matches the Rfam family "Eukaryotic large subunit ribosomal RNA", at positions 1 to 623 of the family's 3401-position model. The record is from RNAcentral. Lineage: Eukaryota; Fungi; Neocallimastigomycota; Neocallimastigomycetes; Neocallimastigales.
UUUCCGUAGGUGAACCUGCGGAAGGAUCAUUAAAAAUUAGGUGACUGUAAUUUAGGUUACCCAUUAUAAUAUCCUACCUUGUGAAUUUGUUUGUUAUGUAAAUUUUUGUCUAUCCCUAAAGAAAGGUUGGAUAAGUGUAAUGCUUAAAAAACUUUUUUUUAGGGAAUGGCUUAAGACUUUUAUUUAAAAUUAAACUUUUGUAUUCAUUUGUCUAAAAUUAAUUUUUAAAUAAAUAAUUUAAAACAACUUUUGACAAUGGAUCUCUUGGUUCUCGCAACGAUGAAGAACGCAGCAAAAUGCGAUAAGUAAUGUGAAUUGCAGAAUACGUGAAUCAUCAAAUCUUCGAACGCAUAUUGCACUUUUUUAGUUACUAAAAAGUAUGUCUGUUUGAGUAUCAGGUAAAUAUCUCAUAAAUCAUUUGAUUUUAUGGUUAUGAGUGUUUUACAACGAUAAACAAGUUGUUUCACUUUAAAUGGAUUUUAUUGAAAUCGUCGGUUGGACGAUUUUAAUUUUUUUUAAAAAAUUGGAUAAAAUUUCCCGUAAAAGGAUAAGCUAUUUCAGUUUCUUAGAAUUUAAUAGUUUCCUACCGGUACAGUUAAGGAAAUUAUUUAUAAUAACUUGAUCUCAAAUCAGAUAAGAGUACCCGCUGAACUUAAGCAUAUCAAUAACGGAGAAAAGAAACUAACAAGGAUUCCCUUAGUAACGGCGAGUGAAGCGGGAAGAGCUCAAAUUUGAAAUCUUCAAGGUUCUACCUGACGAAUUGUGUUUAAAGAAGUGUUUUCUGUUAGAGGAGUGGCAAAAGUUCUUUGGAAUAGGACAUCAUAGAGGGUGAGAAUCCCGUAUUUGGUCAUUCUUUCUAGCUGUGUGAUACACUUUCAAAGAGUCGGAUUGUUUGGAAUGCAGUCCAAAUGGGUGGUAAAUUUCAUCUAAAGCUAAAAUUGGCGAGAGACGAUAGCGAACAAGUACCGUGAGGAAAGAUGAAAAGAACUUUGAAAAGAGAGUUAAACAGUACGUGAAUUGUCGAAAGGGAAGCGUUUGACCAGUGUGUUUUUCCGAAAAUCAAUUGUGCCUGCUGGAUUUUGUAGGAGUUUGACCUUAUCAGCUUCUUCUGCUUUUUCCGGUCUGGUGCAAUGCACUUUUCGGUUAACAAGUCAACAUCAAUUUCUUUUGUUGUAAAAGGUAAUUGGAAGGUGGCUUCUUUUCGGAGAAAGUGUUUAUAGCCUUUUACCUCUACAAUCGGAGAGAUUGAGGUCUGCAGCGUAGAUCCUUCGGUUAGAUCAUUUGUGCUAAGUUAUAGCCCUGUAUAGACAACUUGUUGACUAUACUCGGUCAUGUAGCUUACUCGUUAUGCUAUUU